ACACAGAUAUUAGGGGGACCCGAUCUGUUCAUAGACCGUGGCAGUACGAUCAACCUGACCUGUAGGUGCUAUUCAGUCCUGAGCCACCUGCCUACAUAUUCUGGAACCACAAUGAGGCGAUAAUCAGCUACGAUUCGCCGCGCGGAGGCGUCAGUGUGAUCACAGAGAAGGGUGAGACGACAACCAGCUUUUGCUGAUUCAGCGCGCCAGACCGACCGACUCUGGCCGCUACCAGUGCAACCCGUCCAACGCCCAUCUAAGAGCAUCAACGUGCAUGUUCUCAAUGGUGAAUUUCCGGCAGCAAUGCAGCACGGAGGCCAGGCGCAUCACAGGACAUCUCAUAUGCACUGCCUUCUUUUCUGUCUGCUGCUGCUCAGGUUCUGCCAUAGACCACCACAUACAUCACUUCAACAUGUCAGCUGUUCUCAUAAGUAGCAUCGAUACUUCGAUACAUCGAUAUAUAUCGAAGUAACGUCGAUACAUCGAAGUAACUUCGAUAUAUCGAAGUAGCUUCGAUACAUCAAAGUAACUUCGAUACAUCGAAGUAACUUCGAUACAUCGAAAUAGCUUUGAUACAUCGAAAUAAAUUCGAUAUAUCGACAUAUAUCGAAGUAGCAUCGAUACAUCGAAAUAACUUCGAUACAUUGAAGUAACAUUCUCAGACCAGAUACAGAAUAGACACAUUAGAAUGUCUAACCUCUGAAGCCAACAUGAAUUGGAUGCGUGAUGUCAUACUGGUGCAAGACUUGCCACUGCAAGCUGUAGCUAUGGUGAGGUCCACUUUACUAGUAGUUCUGGGAACAGUAGACCUCACGCAGUAUUCUCAUCCACCAGUACCUGAUGUCACCUGUUUUAAAUGUUAACAAACUCAGUUCACGUUUGAAUUUGUAUUCCAUAUGAUUUAAUUCAUCCAGUUCCGGUUUGAUAAUCUGAUGAAAAAUAAUUUUUUACAAUCAAAAAUAUUAUGAUUUCUUCAGCAUUUAGUUCAUUUGAUUAUUUUUAAUCAGCUAUUGAAUAAGUUUUUUCGAAUGUGAGAAUAUUGAUACUGAUGGGCACACAUAAUAAUACCAUGACUGCAAAACAAAAUAUUGAAACCAAAGACCUUAAAGAUGUAUACCUCUUCAAGGUCUUUGAUUGAAACUAUAGACCUUAUAGAAAUACAGAAUACACUGGCAUCAAUGUAAACAAACUCUACAGAAAAGUUUUAUAUCUGAUGCUAAUGUCACGAUUUGGCAAUUGUGAUGCUGACUUCAUUGACUUUGAGAGUGAAUAUACAAUGGGCCAUGUCUAUUCUAUAUCUGGUCUAAGGUAACAUUGAUGCAUCAUCGAUUCAUCGAUACAUCGAAGUAACUCCGAUACUUCAAUACAUUUAUACAUCAAAGUAACAUCGAUAAAUGAUACAUCAAAGUAACUUCAAUAUAUCGAUAUAUCGAAGUAACAUCGAUAUAUCGAUACAUUGAUACAUCGAAGUAACAUCGAUGCUGCCCAGUCAGCUGAUACUGACACAAGUCAAACACUGUUCUUGAUUGACUUCAACCUGUUAGCACACCUUGAAUGCUGGAUUCCCACAGUCAGUGGACAUUUCCAAACAUCUCCAUCUCUACACUUGAUCAGCAUUCGAAUGUCGUGGAAAUGUUCUAUUUGAAAAUCUUCUUUACAUUCGAGAUGAGAUUUGUGUGUUGCUGUAUUGUUUCUGAGAUGUGAGUACCGACUGUAAUGUGGAUUGCAUUUUUCUGUACAAUAAAAAUUUUUAAUUCAAUUAAUUUCAAAUCAAUGUCAAUCGCAACAGUGUUUGUCAAUCCAUAAUCUCUCUUGAAUGUUGGAGAUAUCAAAGGGAUGGACAAAGUGUUCGUUUAUUUGUAAACUUAUAAUAGGUACUGUAUAAAUUUCAAAAAUAUUAUUCUAGAAUUUCAAUUGGAUGUCAUUUAGUAGACAAGAUGGAUAGAGAAGUGUAUGAUACAUUCCAUUUUUCAUUCAGAAGGCUGAACAUUUAAAUAGUUUGCUUGGUGUUUUCAAGAUAUUACCGGAGAUGUUAUUAAAGCUAAUUAUAAUGUUGUAAACUUUUUCAUCACGAGUAGGUUCUUCUUCAAUUACCCAUACCUUCUACAGUAUUUUUUGUGUGAUGGAGAUAUUUUUUAAAUACAUCAUAAUUCAAUUCAAUAGGUUGUUUUCUAAUUUAUUCAGAAAUAAUUUUGUAGUCCUCCACUCUUAUGUUUUUGAAUAAGAUUUGCAAUGCAAUGAAUUUCAAUCUCUUAUUCAAGACCAUUGAUCACAAUUUUUGCCAAUCAUGAGCUUUGUCUUAAUAAAAUAAACUGGAAGCUGCAUUUGUUUAAUGCUGAUUAAUGGAUAAUCAUUAUCAAACGAAAAUCCCAUUUGAAUGCUGUAAAUCACCCUAAAAACUUCUGAUACUGAAAAAUAUUGACUACCUAUACUAUACAGCUUUUAUAGUAGCGCUCAUCAAAUUUUCCAUCUAGCUGUUGACCAUGUUGUCAAUAUUUGCAGUAGCAGAAGUCUUCGGGGUGAUUCACAGCAUUUAAUUGGGAUCUUCGUUCAAUAAUAAUUGAAAAAACUGAUAAUUCAAUGAAGUUGCUAUUCCAUUUUGGAUUUGAAUUCCACUAAGAAAGAUGAAAACAAUAACCUAAUUUCUUGUAACAUCAAUAAAGAUUUAUUACCAAAUGUUUUCAAAGUGAAGAAAGGUAUUUUAUGAUGAAGAGCUUCUAAAAGAUAAGAAUAAACUUGGAGAGUAUGCUGUGAUAUUAUUUUAAUGUUAUAUUUUAUGGAAAAUAACUAACGCAGGUGCCCCCUCUAUUUGUUAUGUUUGUAUAGCUAUGAUACAUGCAAACUAGUUUCUAAAUCAUUUUAUAUUGGAACUUCGAAUUAUCUAUUCAGUCAAUUGAUGUUUGUUAUGUUAUUGACAUUAUCCACAUAUAUCUGUGUAUGUUGAUAUAUUUAUUAAAUUUCCUAAUCGACUGUUAAACUGUCAUACCAUAGCCUACUGUAAAUAUCACAUAUUUGAGUAAGCAAGGUAGUCAUUAAAAAAAAAAAAUGUAUGGAAGACCAUCUCGUACUAUCUUGUUCACCAACUUGUUGUAACCCCAGAGGUUUUCACGUGUGUGUGUGUGUGUGUGUGUGUGUGUGUGUGUGUGUGUGUGUGUGUGUGUGGUGUGUGUGUGUGUGUGUGUGUGUGUGUGUGUGUGUGUGUGUGUGUGUGUGUGUGUGUGUGUGUGUGUGUGUGGUGUGUGUGUGUGUGUGUGUGUGGGUUUGUAUAAUAUUCUUGGCGAGUAUGAAUGAAGUCUUCGAGACUGGGACUUUAAUUGGAGUCUUUGAGAGUCAUUGGACUACAGUAAGGUUCACGUUGUAAUGGCAGUGGAGAAAGAUAGGAGAUCAACGUUGCCGAUCCUCUGUCUUGUCAAUGCCUUUUAUAGAUGGUAGCUGAUACAGGUUUACUAAUGCAAUAUUAAUGGUCCAUUCUUGUUUAAAAUAUCCAAUUAUAGAUGGAAUUAAAUAGAGAAUGCAUUUUAUUAUUCAUUUAUUUCCAUCUAGCUGUUAACCCUGUUGUCAAUGUCUGCAGUAGCAGAAGUCUUCGGGGUGAUUUGCAGCAUUUAUUUAGGAUUUUCGUUGAAUAAUAAUUAUAUCCAAUUAUAUUCUAUUGAGCAAGAGAUCAUAUUUUUCAAUAAUUUCAUAAUGAAUUAUCAUAAUUGAGGUGGAAUUAUUAUUUUGUUGAUCAAUUAUUAAUUCUACAUUGUCAAAAGACGAUCUGGCAACAGAACAAGGAGAGAAAGAGAUAGCGCUAUCCGCUUUGUUUGAAGAUAGACAAGGAUAGCAAUACCAUUGCUAAUCAAACACUCCCAUUAUAACGUGCACCUCACUAUAGAACUCUAGAGUCUUUGAGAUCUUUGAGAUAUGGAUGAUCAUUUGAUCGGAUGUGGAUAGACAUAUUUUGAAAAUAACAACUAUUGUCAUGUUAUAGCAUAGAUAAUGUUUUACAUACCUAUAUUAUACAAUUUAUAAGACCAUAUUUUAUUCCAGAACGGCUCAACUGAAAUCUCCUGUAUGUAUAAUAUUGUAAUAUCUUACUCAUGUAUUUCUUUGGUUACUCGAAUGUUGAACAACAUUUUUUAUUGGAUGAAUUUGAAGAACAUACAUUCUAUAUUUAUUCAAUACCUACCUAGCAACUGUAUCUUGCAAGUUUUUUUUUUUUGACCUCAAAAAUAUUAUUGAACCUCCUAUGUAAAUUCUCAUUUACAUAAUUAUUUUUUAUGAAUUUCUCAUAACCAUCAUAUCUUUUUUAAAAUGUAUAAAUUCAGGGUUACUUUCUUCCACUUUCUUUCUUCAUACUGAUGUGAACACUGAAACUAGUUCUUAUAAUUUGUAUUCUUAAUCUAUAAAUUUAUUCAUUUCAAAGGGUACUAUAAUUCUAUUUUAUAAAUCAUAUCCUUUAUUUACUAUUUCUCAUUACUAUCAUCAUCACACAAUUUUUCAUUUUUCACUCCAUAUCAAUAAUUGAUAUUGUAUAACAAUUCGUCACUUCAUCAACAGAUGAAUGUAACUUAAUGUAUUUACAUUUUGGUUGGGAAAGGAGAAAUAUUUUCAAAUUUUCAAUUCAUCAUUUUUCAUUGCGUGGUAUUCAAUCUAACAAUUUAUUAUAGAGCAUGAGUCUUCCGACUAUGUGUCAUUGAUUACUGAGGUAAUUGAUUAAUUUUAUUAAUGUUUUUAUCCUACAUCAGCCCUAAGCAAUUCAGCCCGACCGGCUGUGGGAGUAGCCUAAAUCUUUCCAAUAUCAUCUUAGAAAGUAGAGGCACCUUUUUGGACAUUUCUAUUCUAAAAAUAUGAAAGGCAUGCUGAUUCCGUUGACAAUUCUACUACUUUUAUGAAUUAAUUCGUUGGAAUGACAACACUAUUUACAAAUUCGCUGUUUCCCUGCGAAAUUCUAUUGACUUUCUUCCAUUUUUCUUUCAUAUGUGCCAUUCUUAGUCACUAUCAUUCUGUUAUCCAUUUUGUUUUGUCAAUUCCUUGUCAUGAAUAAGAUAAUUCAGGAAUUCCAUUAUAAACUUGAUUCAUCUUUCUUCAUUGUUUCUUUCUCACUGUGGGCCUAUAAAGUCAUUGGAAAAACAAAUUAUCACCAAUUAUUGUAUUAGUUCAUUUAUUUAUCCAGUCAUGUACAAUUAUCACACUUAUGUGAGAAGGUAAACAGGCUUAUGCCCAAAAAUGUCCCUUCUCAAAUUCUUACUACAGU
This 5236-nucleotide long non-coding RNA is filed under the name Nilaparvata lugens (brown planthopper). Its description in RNAcentral is "uncharacterized LOC111061104". Lineage: Eukaryota; Metazoa; Arthropoda; Insecta; Hemiptera; Delphacidae. The record is from RNAcentral.